Myotis davidii is the source of this 87-nucleotide non-coding RNA. The record is from Rfam. Lineage: Eukaryota; Metazoa; Chordata; Mammalia; Chiroptera; Vespertilionidae.
AGAGGCCCUCUGUGGCUGGGGUGGAAUGCUUGCAUCGUUGCUGCAGUGAUAAAGCAAGCAUUCUGCCAGGCCGCUCAUACUGCCUGU